CAUUUCUUUGUUAAUGAACUUUUCAUGCACUUUUUUUACUUAUCUAGUAGUCUGCUUAUUGAGUAGUUUGCCUUUUCAUCAUGUGUCUGUGACACAGAGCAAGUAUCUUUUCUAUGCCUUGGCAAAUUGUCAUAUUGCUUUCUAAUUUUCUUUCUAAUCAUGAUCAUGAUGUGCAUCUGUUAUUUACGUAGUAAUUUGUGAACUGAAAGGCUACCAAUAAAGUUUAUACUUUAUGCAAUUUCAAUUAAUAUACAGUGGUAACUGUUAUUUGAACCAUGAUGUAGGGAACUAGUGUUAUUUAACUAAAUUAUGGUAACUGAAAUUGGUGCAUAACAAAGCUGUAAAACAAGGACUGCCUAUAUCCUUUUCAGUGCACUAAAUGCUACAUGAUUGUUUCUUACCUCACCCUAUGUACUUGUCAUGUCUUUUUAAAAAUGUACUCAAAGAACAGAAAUAAUAAACCAAAUAGAGAAGCAA
This is a long non-coding RNA of Homo sapiens (human), 477 nucleotides long. NCBI's taxonomy places the organism in Eukaryota, Metazoa, Chordata, Mammalia, Primates, Hominidae. The record is from Ensembl.